AUAGCGUAUAUUAAAGUUGUUGCAGUUAAAAAGCUCGUAGUUGGAUUUCAAGGGUCGUAGUGUGGACAACACAUUGCACCCUACCAGUCUUUGACUGUUACUGUGAGAAAAUUAGAGUGUUUCAAGCAGGCUAUUGCAGGAAUACAUUAGCAUGGAAUAACGGAUGUAUCUAGAAUCUUGGUUAAUUCUAGAUUACGAUUAAUAGGGACAGUUGGGGGCAUUAGUAUUUAAUUGUCAGAGGUGAAAUUCUUGGAUUUGUUAAAGACUAACGAAUG
This 275-nucleotide ribosomal RNA is filed under the name Apobryophyllum schmidingeri. Its description in RNAcentral is "partial 18S ribosomal RNA". It matches the Rfam family "Eukaryotic small subunit ribosomal RNA", at positions 594 to 945 of the family's 1831-position model. The record is from RNAcentral. Lineage: Eukaryota; Ciliophora; Litostomatea; Haptorida; Spathidiidae.